CAAUAGCCCCGAUAGUAGCGGCAUCCUUUUUCUUUUUUUGCUAAAAAAGGAAAAGAUAUAGCGGAUAGCGGGAAAUAGC
This 79-nucleotide small RNA is filed under the name Epilithonimonas hungarica. Its description in RNAcentral is "Chryseobacterium hungaricum Flavo-1 RNA". It matches the Rfam family "Flavo-1 RNA". The record is from RNAcentral. Lineage: Bacteria; Pseudomonadati; Bacteroidota; Flavobacteriia; Flavobacteriales; Weeksellaceae.